Zingiber officinale is the source of this 369-nucleotide long non-coding RNA. RefSeq lists it as uncharacterized. Lineage: Eukaryota; Viridiplantae; Streptophyta; Magnoliopsida; Zingiberales; Zingiberaceae. The record is from RefSeq and is a predicted model, not a curated record. The transcript is spliced from 2 exons.
CUUGAAUAUUUUGUUGAAUUGUGGAGUGUGUUUAUCCUUUUACUAUUUAUCAAAAAAUGGAGGUACUCUUACUUUAAGAAGGUCAAUGGCAUUGCUGAUAAAAUUUAUGUGGCGGCCAAGAUAAGAUUGAAUAGAACAGUGAAUAGUUAGUUGUUUUUAGAAAAAAUAAAGUUUACGAUGAAUGUAAUUAUAAGAAGUUUCCAUACUAGAAUUGUGAGCUUUUAUUGUAAGUGUGCUUUUAGUAACCAUAUUCUUGUGAUAUUUUGCAAAUGAAACAAUAUUAUUAUUGUGCUUUUAGUGUAAUCUAUGACACAAAGAAUGCACUUAUUUUAUUUCAUUUUAUGAAAAUUAUUAUAUUCCUCUGUGCAA